Molecule: long non-coding RNA, 1574 nt
Organism: Spodoptera frugiperda (fall armyworm)
Lineage: Eukaryota; Metazoa; Arthropoda; Insecta; Lepidoptera; Noctuidae
Exons: 5
Source: RefSeq, a predicted model, not a curated record
ACAUCUGUUAAAUGGCGCUAGUAUCGCUUUUGGCAAGCUUUGAUUUUAGUUCCUAGUUUAUCUGUAGGGUGUUACAAAUUGAUGAUAAUAUAUGUAUCUUUAUAUUGUACCUGUAGCUGCGAAGUAUCGAUUAGGCCUGCGCAGUGCAAUGUUUAUUGACCUUUAGAGUUGCGUCUAGGAUAUUUUGACACACGAGUUUGCAAGAGGGGCAGGUGAGGAGAGUAUAGGAGGGCCUGAAUUCAAGCUUAGAGAGAGAAUUCAGCAGAUCAAAAGGUCAUGGUCAUCAGAAUGAAUGCGAGAUGUUUCUUCAUGUUAGUGGGCACGUUCCUCGUGAACGUACUGUACCCAGUGGAGCCGUUGUACCAUAUCUUCUACAGCGGCGUGCCUUGGGUCAUGUCGGCGCAGUAUCUGAGGAAACUGUGGAUGACGCUUAUGUAUGAGAAUCAGGGUCGUGUUGAGCUGAACAGUCUUGUGCAGUAAGAAGCAGAGUUGCUGCCUUAACGAGCAGUCGUCUAGAUGUCGUGUUUAUACAACAGGCUGCUCGACUGAUUUUAUCUUCAAUUUUGUAUGACUGAAUCGGAAAACACUAUCCCUAAAAUUCUUUAGACACUUCUGGAUUUAUUUUGAAACUAUUACAUUAUAAUUUAACUAAUCUUCAAAAUAAUUAACUAACGUUUUUUGGACAUGUUUUUUUUAAAGCUAUUACAAUGUAAUCUACUUUAAUUAAGUUAUCAAAAUCAAUUUAGGAUUGGAGCUAUAUAUACCUUUACCAUAAACACCGCUAUGUUUUACAAUAUUUCUCAAAAAUUAAUACAACUGAGAUUCUACUUUGACUUAUAUGGGAUAAAGUAUGUUUAAUUUUAUAGUUACCUUGUAUGUUAUUAUUGUGGAAUAUUAUUUGUAAUGUACAUAUUUAAUUUAUUUCAUGCGUUCACAAUCUAUCAUUUUGUUAUCAAAGCUAUCUUUCUGUUAGUGUUAAUUUAAGAUUCAGAGGUAUUAAUUUAAUAAACCAAACAUAUGAGUUCUUAAGUAAAUUAGUUUAUAUUAAUGAGGUACUUAAAAUACUGCCAGAAGUUCGAAAAGUUAAAAUUUUGACGCAUUUUUAAGUAAUAUAUUAUACUCAUAUAACAUUCUUUAUACUCGUACAUUUUUGAAUAUAGCAUAACCCAAUAAAUAAAAAAAUUCGUAAUAAAAUAUUUGUAUCAACGUUUUCAGAAAAAAACCCGUAAUCGUUCUUUAAUUUUCGAAAUGUAAUAUACGUUGUAAAGCACCUUACGUAACUAUUUCGUAUAAUUAUCUUACUAAUAUUUUAAAUGCGAAGAUUUGUGAGUUUGUGUGUAUGUUUGUUACUCAAUCAUGGCUAAAGAAAUCGGUCUUAAAUUUGGACCACAGCAAGCCAUAAUCUGGUCCAAAUAGUUAAUCCCAACAUAUGAUACUUUUAUCACAAGGCAACGUUGGUGAAGCCGCAGAUUCGGUUAUCCGGUUUGUUUAAGAUUUUGUCUUGAUAAAGUGUUCGACUGGAUGACAAUAACGCAUUUUUUAUUGUUUCGUUUUUAAUAAAAAUUGGCGUUUUG